UACGAAGGGGGCUAGCGUUGUUCGGAAUUACUGGGCGUAAAGCGUAUGCAGGCGGCUCUCUAAGUCGGGGGUGAAAUCCUGAGGCUCAACCUCAGAACUGCCUUCGAUACUGGAGAUCUUGAGUCCGGGAGAGGUGAGUGGAACUGCGAGUGUAGAGGUGAAAUUCGUAGAUAUUCGCAAGAACACCAGUGGCGAAGGCGGCUCACUGGCUCGGUACUGACGCUGAGGUGCGAAAGCGUGGGGAGCAAACAGG
Molecule: ribosomal RNA, 253 nt
Filed under: uncultured bacterium
Lineage: Bacteria
Description: partial 16S ribosomal RNA
Rfam family: Bacterial small subunit ribosomal RNA
Source: RNAcentral